UUUUCUGAGCAAGACAUAAUA
RNAcentral lists this non-coding RNA (21 nucleotides) under Caenorhabditis elegans. Lineage: Eukaryota; Metazoa; Nematoda; Chromadorea; Rhabditida; Rhabditidae. The record is from RNAcentral.